Molecule: ribosomal RNA, 253 nt
Filed under: uncultured bacterium
Lineage: Bacteria
Description: partial 16S ribosomal RNA
Rfam family: Bacterial small subunit ribosomal RNA
Source: RNAcentral
UACAGAGGGUGCGAGCGUUAAUCGGAAUUACUGGGCGUAAAGGGCGCGUAGGCGGAUUAUUAAGUUAGAUGUGAAAUCCCUGGGCUUAACCUGGGAAUGGCAUUUAAUACUGGUGGUCUAGAGUAGAGUAGAGGGAAGUGGAAUUUCCGGUGUAGCGGUGAAAUGCGUAGAGAUCGGAAAGAACACCAGUGGCGAAGGCGGCCAUCUGGACCAGCACUGACGCUGAGGCACGAAAGCGUGGGGAGCAAACAGG